CGGGUUGUAAAGCACUUUCAGUCGUGAGGAAGGUAGUGUAGUUAAUAGCUGCAUUAUUUGACGUUAGCGACAGAAGAAGCACCGGCUAACUCCGUGCCAGCAGCCGCGGUAAUACGGAGGUGCGAGCGUUAAUCGGAAUUACUGGGCGUAAAGCGCAUGCAGGUGGUUUGUUAAGUCAGAUGUGAAAGACCCGGGGCGUCAACCUACCGGAAUUGCAUUUAGUAAACUGGCAAACUAAGAGUACUGUAGAGGGGGGUAGGAAUUUCAGGUGUAGCGGUGAAAUGCGUAGAGAUCUGAAGGAAUACCGGUGGCGAAGGCGGCCCCCUCGGACAGAUACUGACACUCAGAUGCGAAAGCGUGGGGAGCAAACAGGAUUAGAUACCCUGGUAG
This 390-nucleotide ribosomal RNA is filed under the name uncultured bacterium. Its description in RNAcentral is "bacterial SSU rRNA". It matches the Rfam family "Bacterial small subunit ribosomal RNA", at positions 419 to 793 of the family's 1533-position model. The record is from RNAcentral.